GUCGAGGUGGCGGAAUUGGCAGACGCGCAGGGCUUAGGACCCUGUGGGAUUUUAUCCCUUGGGAGUUCAAGUCUCCCCCUCGACACAA
RNAcentral lists this transfer RNA (88 nucleotides) under Candidatus Wolfebacteria bacterium. Its description in RNAcentral is "tRNA-Leu". It matches the Rfam family "tRNA". From Rfam's summary of the family: Transfer RNA (tRNA) molecules are approximately 80 nucleotides in length. The record is from RNAcentral. Lineage: Bacteria; Candidatus Wolfeibacteriota.